GCUUCUUGUUUUUUCGUUUUUUAUUUCUGAUUUCACUUCUCUUUUUUUUUUAAUUCCAUUUCAUUUCAAAAAAUCCUUUCUCCUUCAUUAUUGGUCCAAAAAAUGUGAGACCAAUUGCAUUUUUCUCCUUUUAAAUUCUAGUUUUUGAAAAUGAUUUUUAAUAUUUUUUAUCUUAUCAUUUGAUAUUUUUUUUAUGAAUUUUCUCUUUUCUGGUUAUU
RNAcentral lists this long non-coding RNA (218 nucleotides) under Lathyrus oleraceus (garden pea). RNAcentral's name for it is "Pisum sativum (pea) long non-coding RNA (PSAT_LNC001645)". Lineage: Eukaryota; Viridiplantae; Streptophyta; Magnoliopsida; Fabales; Fabaceae. The record is from RNAcentral.